UACAGAGGUGCCGAGCGUUAGGCGGAAUCACUGGGCUUAAAGCGUGUGUAGGCGGACUUCUAAAUACCUUGUGAAAUCCCACGGCUCACCCGUGGAACUGCUGGGUAUACUGGUCGUCUUGAGCCACCUAGGGGCGAGCGGAACAAAUGGUGGAGCGGUGAAAUGCGUAGAUAUCAUUUGGAACGCCAACGGUGAAAACAGCUCGCUGGGGGUGUGCUGACGCUGAGACACGAAAGCCAGGGUAGCGAACGGG
This 253-nucleotide ribosomal RNA is filed under the name uncultured bacterium. RNAcentral describes it as "partial 16S ribosomal RNA". It matches the Rfam family "Bacterial small subunit ribosomal RNA", at positions 524 to 776 of the family's 1533-position model. The record is from RNAcentral.